ACGUGAAUCACGAGGGGAUCUUUUCCAGAUCCAGAUUUGAUUCAGCAGGUCUGGGAGGAGGUCUGAAUCUCUGCAUUUCUAACAAGCUCCCUAGUGAUGAUGCU
Molecule: microRNA precursor, 104 nt
Filed under: Marmota monax (woodchuck)
Lineage: Eukaryota; Metazoa; Chordata; Mammalia; Rodentia; Sciuridae
Source: RNAcentral